GCUCUUCAAGACUGCACCUACUCCUCACACUCUAGGGCUUCACUUUUUUCCCCUUUGGGACUUCACUUCUUCAGCCCAUCUUCACUGGCCGAAUGGCCUCUCUAUUUAUUUCUUCAUCUUUUCCUUCUUUUCUUCCUUUCACACUCUUCACAUCAAGUCACAAUAAAUGGAAGCCAACUUAUCUUGACUUUGCUUCAACCAAUUUCUUUUCUUCAGCUCUUCCUUAGCCGAAUGACCCUUGCCUUUUGCUUCUUUCUUUUCUUUCUUCCUUCCAACGUGUCUCACAAGUUUAACAUCACAUAAUCAUUUAUGUGGCUUGACUUUUGUACAUCCCUUCAUAAAUGUUGUUGGACUUUUGUACAUAAUUGAGGAAAAGAUGAACCUAACUCUUCUCUUUCGGACAAGCUUCUCCAGCAAACCCAUUUCACUUUGCUGACUUCUCAGCACUUGUCCAACAAGCUCAUUUAAUGAGCUAAGACAAAGUGUGGGCUGGAACAUGGUGCAGCGCACCCAACAAAGAGAGUGUGCACGUGACUCUGUAAUUGUGUGUACCGUGUACAGAGUAAAAUUAAGGUGCACGUGUAACACGGACCUCCAUCAUGUGGAACCUUGAAGGUGCGCAUGGCAAGUAAUCAUGACCUCCAUCAUGUUGAAUGUGAAUUGCUCUGGAAUAAAAACAUCCUCAGGUAAAUAUGGGGAGAAGGGUUGGGGGUAGGAACUGAUUGAACAGAGAUCUGCAUAAUUUUGAUACGCCAUCGUUUUGGUCAUUGCUGCUUUUGCCAUCCCAUCUCUUGCUCAAGCUCACGGUCAUAGAAUCGAGUCUUGUUCAAGGCUUUGAAGUAGAUCGGUGCUGCCCCCGACGCCAGUAAGGCAAAGGAGAGCCAUUCGAUCCAUCCUGGGAAAGGUAAGGUGAGAAAUUGCAGCUACACUUAGUGGAAGGGUCCUCUUCUUGUGUAUGGUUUCGAAGCGUUCAAAGGCAAGAAACAAGUUCACGUCAUCGAUUUUUCUAUGAAUCAGGGGAUGCAGUGGCCAAGCUUAAAUGAUUUGGUUUGAAAAGUGUGUAGGAAAUUUACAAGCUUUUUCAGUGAGUGAUUUGGGUGUGGA
This is a long non-coding RNA of Quercus robur (English oak), 1104 nucleotides long. RefSeq lists it as uncharacterized. The record is from RefSeq and is a predicted model, not a curated record. The transcript is spliced from 3 exons. Lineage: Eukaryota; Viridiplantae; Streptophyta; Magnoliopsida; Fagales; Fagaceae.